This 253-nucleotide ribosomal RNA is filed under the name uncultured prokaryote. Its description in RNAcentral is "partial 16S ribosomal RNA". It matches the Rfam family "Bacterial small subunit ribosomal RNA", at positions 525 to 777 of the family's 1533-position model. The record is from RNAcentral.
ACGUAGGGUGCGAGCGUUGUCCGGAAUUACUGGGCGUAAAGGGCGCGCAGGCGGCAGACCAAGUCAGAUGUGAAAUAGCUCGGCUUAACCGGGCGGGGUCAUUUGAAACUGGUCAGCUAGAGUACAGCAGAGGUUAGCGGAAUUCCCGGUGUAGUGGUGAAAUGCGUAGAUAUCGGGAGGAACACCAGAGGCGAAGGCGGCUAACUGGGCAUGUACUGACGCUGAGGCGCGAAGGCUAAGGGAGCAAACAGGA